CUUUGCGCACCUCUUGCUUUCUUAUCAUAUACUGUCCCGUCGUAGCUUACGCAGUUUCGGCAUGCACUAUCGGUGGAUUGCAGCCAGUUUCGUGCCGAUCGCUAGUUAAUCCAGUCGUGUAUAGAGAGACUUAUAUCAUUUAUUCGGAUUUCAAUAAUCUAAAUUUGUGUUAUACUCGCAGAUCAAUCGACUAUUUAUUUGUUCUUUGCGACUAUAGUAAUUUGUUAAAUGUUCGGAAAUGCCGGUGUUUGGUCGCGUUUGUUAUGUACGAGUAUAUUACAAGUCACGUGAUAGUGGAUUUGACAACAUUCUUCACUCGACAUUGUGUUUGGUGUCUCCAUUUUGAUUCUCAUCAUAAACAAAGAUCCAUCAGGCUCGUUUACAGCAUUCGUUGUGCCUGGAGACACGAACAAAAUUACUUAAUCUAUUCGCAUUGAUUUUCUAACAAAAGCGACGUCCCAGGAUCGGAUUGGAAGACAACUGAUUGGUAGCGACGAUUAAUUUCUUAUGCUCGGCGUACUUCAAUUAAAGCGCUUUAAUUAAAAGUGAUUCUUCACUGUUCGAUCGCAAAAACACAUUAGAAACUAACGGCGUUUAAUCGGCGUCGGUCCCUCUUAUUGUUGAUGCCAAUUUGACUCCUUCAGAACGUGACAAAAACAUUUGGUGUAUUUCCAGCACGCAGAAGACGCGCGCCAUAGUUAUGGUUUGACAUUCAAUCGACUGACUCCUAUGAUGGAUCCCCCUCGAUGUGUGUGAACAAUUCGGGGACGGGGAUUUGGAUGGCAGAGGUUGCUUUCAAACCUGUCUACGAAGAUGUCCAGUUGAACAUAAAAUGGAUGAAGACGUGCCGCAUCUUUGUGAAUAAAUGACUAAUGGUCCCCUCCAAAUUGAAAAACAAAUUUUCAUGAGUAGUUGCCUAUUUAGAUUUUUAAAAUGUAGGAAUUGUUUUUUACGUAUAAGGAUAAUUAAUUGUUGUUACUUGAAGUGUUGAUUAAUUUGUUCGGGUGUUAUUAUAUUUUAUAUUAUAAUUGACAGCA
Dalotia coriaria is the source of this 1037-nucleotide long non-coding RNA. RefSeq lists it as uncharacterized. The record is from RefSeq and is a predicted model, not a curated record. The transcript has 4 exons. NCBI's taxonomy places the organism in Eukaryota, Metazoa, Arthropoda, Insecta, Coleoptera, Staphylinidae.